ACAGCUGUAGUAUAGUGGUUUAGUAUAGCUCGUUCCCAGAGGGUUAUACGAGUUGACGCGAGUUCGAAUCUCGCCAGCUGUA
Non-coding RNA from Hydnum rufescens UP504, 82 nucleotides. The record is from the annotation of a GenBank genome assembly. NCBI's taxonomy places the organism in Eukaryota, Fungi, Basidiomycota, Agaricomycetes, Cantharellales, Hydnaceae.